AUUGCACAGACAACCAGGAUGUUGGCUUAGAAGCAGCCACUCAUUUAAAGAGUGCGUAAUAGCUCACUGGUCGAGUGAUUCUGCGCCGAAAAUUUCCGGGGCUAAAACUUACUACCGAAGCUACGGCAUCAUUAUGAUGGGUAGGGGAGCUUUCUAUACGGGUUGAAGCAUGACCGUAAGGACAUGUGGACUGUAUAGAAGUGAGAAUGUUGGCAUGAGUAGCGAGAUGUGGGUGAGAAUCCCACAGGCCGUAAACCCAAGGUUUCCAGGGGAAGGUUCGUCCGCCCUGGGUUAGUCAGGACCUAAGCCGAGGCCGAAAGGCGUAGGUGAUGGACAACAGGUUGAUAUUCCUGUACCACCAAUAACCGUUUGAGAAAUGGGAUGACACAGUAGGAUAAGCUAACCGCACUGUUGGUUAUGUGCGGGCAAGUAUUGAGGCAGUUCCGAUAGGCAAAUCCGUCGGAAUAAUGCUGGGGUACGAUGCGGAGCGAAAUUAAGUAGCGAAGUAGCUGAUUUCACACUGUCGAGAAAAGUCUCUAUCGAGGUUAAAGGUGCCUGUACCGCAAACCGACACAGGUGGGUGAGGAGAGUAUCCUAAGGCCAGCGAGAGAACUGUUGUUAAGGAACUCGGCAAAAUGACCCCGUAACUUAGGGAGAAGGGGUGCCUUCGAAAGAAGGCCGCAGAGAAUAGGCCCAAGCGACUGUUUACCAAAAACAUAGGUUUCUGCUAAGUCGCAAGACGAUGUAUAGGAGCUGACGCCUGCCCGGUGCUGGAAGGUUAAGGGGAUCUGUUAGAGCAAUCGAAGCAGUGAACUUAAGCCCCAGUAAACGGCGGCCGUAACUAUAACGGUCCUAAGGUAGCGAAAUUCCUUGUCGGGUAAGUUCCGACCCGCACGAAAGGCGUAACGAUUUGGGCACUGUCUCAACAACAGACUCGGUGAAAUUGUAAUACCGGUGAAGAUGCCGGUUACCUGCGACAGGACGGAAAGACCCCAUGGAGCUUUACUGUAGCUUGACAUUGAGUCUCGGUGCUACAUGUACAGGAUAGGUGGGAGACUAUGAAGCAUGGACGUCAGUCUGUGUGGAGUCAUCCUUGGGAUACCACCCUUGUAGUACUGGGAUUCUAACCAGAGGCCAUGAAUCUGGUCUUGGGACACUGUCAGGUGGACAGUUUGACUGGGGCGGUCGCCUCCCAAAAAGUAACGGAGGCGCUCAAAGGUUCUCUCAGUACGGUCGGAAAUCGUACGAAGAGUGUAAAGGCAAAAGAGAGCUUGAUUGCAAGACAUACAGGUCGAGCAAGGACGAAAGUCGGACUUAGUGAUCCGGUGGUUCCGCAUGGAAGGGCCAUCGCUCAACGGAUAAAAGCUACCCUGGGGAUAACAGGCU
RNAcentral lists this ribosomal RNA (1386 nucleotides) under human gut metagenome. Its description in RNAcentral is "bacterial LSU rRNA". It matches the Rfam family "Bacterial large subunit ribosomal RNA", at positions 1080 to 2483 of the family's 2925-position model. The record is from RNAcentral.